UACCUUUAGCCUUCAAUGUCUCAAGAGGCAAGUCUUACCACUUCUUUUGGUGACUUGAAAGGAUGUACUGCUUUGGAGUUUGGUAGCCAGUUAAUUUGUCACCUGAUCUUCAUAUGCAAAAGGCCUGUAUUCCACUGGUCUGUGAGAU
Molecule: long non-coding RNA, 148 nt
Organism: Pipistrellus kuhlii (Kuhl's pipistrelle)
Lineage: Eukaryota; Metazoa; Chordata; Mammalia; Chiroptera; Vespertilionidae
Exons: 3
Source: RefSeq, a predicted model, not a curated record